RNAcentral lists this ribosomal RNA (377 nucleotides) under uncultured Lactobacillus sp. RNAcentral describes it as "bacterial SSU rRNA". It matches the Rfam family "Bacterial small subunit ribosomal RNA", at positions 9 to 353 of the family's 1533-position model. The record is from RNAcentral. Lineage: Bacteria; Bacillati; Bacillota; Bacilli; Lactobacillales; Lactobacillaceae.
GAGUUUGAUCGUGGCUCAGGACGAACGCUGGCGGCGUGCCUAAUACAUGCAAGUCGAGCGAGUCUGCCUUGAAGAUCGGAGUGCUUGCACUCUGUGAAACAAGAUACAGGCUAGCGGCGGACGGGUGAGUAACACGUGGGUAACCUGCCCAAGAGAUCGGGAUAACACCUGGAAACAGAUGCUAAUACCGGAUAACAACAGAUGAUGCCUAUCAACUGUUUAAAAGAUGGUUCUGCUAUCACUCUUGGAUGGACCUGCGGUGCAUUAGCUAGUUGGUAGGGUAACGGCCUACCAAGGCGAUGAUGCAUAGCCGAGUUGAGAGACUGAUCGGCCACAUUGGGACUGAGACACGGCCCAAACUCCUACGGGAGGCAGCA